RNAcentral lists this ribosomal RNA (250 nucleotides) under uncultured Comamonas sp. RNAcentral describes it as "partial 16S ribosomal RNA". It matches the Rfam family "Bacterial small subunit ribosomal RNA", at positions 86 to 339 of the family's 1533-position model. Lineage: Bacteria; Pseudomonadati; Pseudomonadota; Betaproteobacteria; Burkholderiales; Comamonadaceae. The record is from RNAcentral.
UGCUGACGAGUGGCGAACGGGUGAGUAAUACAUCGGAACGUGCCUAGUAGUGGGGGAUAACUACUCGAAAGAGUGGCUAAUACCGCAUGAGAUCUAUGGAUGAAAGCAGGGGACCUUCGGGCCUUGUGCUACUAGAGCGGCCGAUGGCAGAUUAGGUAGUUGGUGGGAUAAAAGCUUACCAAGCCUACGAUCUGUAGCUGGUCUGAGAGGACGAUCAGCCACACUGGGACUGAGACACGGCCCAGACUCC